RNAcentral lists this ribosomal RNA (158 nucleotides) under Physcia caesia. Its description in RNAcentral is "5.8S ribosomal RNA". It matches the Rfam family "5.8S ribosomal RNA". Rfam says of the family: 5.8S ribosomal RNA (5.8S rRNA) is a component of the large subunit of the eukaryotic ribosome. It is transcribed by RNA polymerase I as part of the 45S precursor that also contains 18S and 28S rRNA. The record is from RNAcentral. Lineage: Eukaryota; Fungi; Ascomycota; Lecanoromycetes; Caliciales; Physciaceae. RNAcentral also lists the same sequence under 1 other name.
UCAACAACGGAUCUCUUGGUUCUGGCAUCGAUGAAGAACGCAGCGAAAUGCGAUAAGUAAUGUGAAUUGCAGAAUUCCGUGAAUCAUCGAAUCUUUGAACGCACAUUGCGCCCUUUGGUAUUCCGAAGGGCAUGCCUGUUCGAGCGUCAUUGCAACCC